This 1170-nucleotide ribosomal RNA is filed under the name Triticum aestivum (bread wheat). RNAcentral's name for it is "partial small subunit ribosomal RNA". The record is from RNAcentral. Lineage: Eukaryota; Viridiplantae; Streptophyta; Magnoliopsida; Poales; Poaceae.
AUGAUGGCGAUGCUGCCGGAGGAUAUGAUUGCGGAGGUGCUCGUGCGUCUGCCGGUGAAAGCCAUCCUCAGAUCCCGCGCCGUCUGCCGCCAGUGGGCGGCGCUGGUAUCCUCCGAGGAGUUCUGCGCGGCCAAGGAGGCCGCCGGGUCGGCGACGGAGCCCGCAGCUAAGCUGUUGUUCCUCUCACGGACCGCGAGAUUCGACUCCACCGAGUUGCGCUCCAGCGACGACGGUGGCGGCAUGCCGCUGCUCACCCUCACCGGCAUGCACGGCGACAGCGCGCGCAUAACGUCCACGCCGUGCCGCGGCCUCACCCUCCUGCACGACCCUUACAGCGGGUUCUAUGUCCUGAACGCCACCACGCGAGCAGUCACCAUGCUGCCGCCUUGCCGAGACAAGAUCCUACAUUCGACAACGGCCGGCCUCGGGUUCGACGCCAAGACUAAGGAGUGCAAGGUCGUGCGGCUGUUCACCGGCGACAGCGGGACACCCAUCGAAGCAUUUACCAGGGCCAGGUGCGAGGUGCACACCCUUGGGGGAGACCGCUGGAGGCCCAUCUCCGUCGAAGGCGUGCCAUGCAAGUUCGCCGGGGCCGCGCUGUUCGGGGGUGUGUGCCACAAACUGCCGGCGGUGUUCGCCGACGGGUGUCUGCACUGGCUCAUCCACCCAAAGUUUCACUUCGCCACAAGGCCGGCAGCCGCGGUGCUGUCUUUCUCCGUCGCGGACGAGACGUUCAGCUGGGUCCGGGCACCACCCUUCGACUGGGAAGGAGCGCACCUGACAGAGCUCGACGGCGGGCUGUGCAUGGUCCGGGAGGACCUCCUCCCUCGUGCUUCUGUUCUUAGUUGCGUGGAGAUCUGGAAGGUGAGGGAACAUAAUGGCGACUGGUCGCUGGAGCAUCGCGUCGACUUGGUACGCCUUAGUUAUAAAACAGGAUAUCUGCUGACUGUGCCACAGUAUAUCAGAGUUGUUGGCAAACAAGGAAAGAAGAUGAUCCUUGCCACGCCCUUUGGCAGGAUUUUCGCCUAUGAUCUCAUGUCUCAAACCCUAGAACUAAUCCUUCGACUCGAAGGAAUUUCUCGUUAUGAAACUGAGCGACCUGUUGCAAAAAUCUCUUUGUUUAAAGAGAGACUUACUCCAGUGCAGAGGCACAGUGCUCAACAGCAAUGA